AGUAGAAGCUUUGAUACCCAAUUUUGCUUGCAUACGUAUUUUGUCACGAGAAGCUCUCUUACCCCCAUAUGAUACAUACUCAUCAUGAUCAGAAUCAUAAAAAGCUGUAGUAUUGUCCAUAUUCGUUUCCACUCGGCCCCAUAGUUUUUGUAAGCAGUUUUUACCCAGCGGAUAAAAAAACCUCGUUUUCUUAGUAUUUUUAUUAUACAUUCGAAGCACGACAAUGGCCCUUCCAUAGGGGCCUUUUUUCCAACCUUUUCUAGGAGGAUCCUUCCGAACAUCAGAAUCCGUGACCACCUGCAU
Schizosaccharomyces pombe (fission yeast) is the source of this 303-nucleotide non-coding RNA. NCBI's taxonomy places the organism in Eukaryota, Fungi, Ascomycota, Schizosaccharomycetes, Schizosaccharomycetales, Schizosaccharomycetaceae. The record is from the annotation of a GenBank genome assembly.